RNAcentral lists this long non-coding RNA (2213 nucleotides) under Equus asinus (donkey). RNAcentral describes it as "lncRNA (ENSEASG00005035390.1)". Lineage: Eukaryota; Metazoa; Chordata; Mammalia; Perissodactyla; Equidae. The record is from RNAcentral.
GAGAGUCUAGCCUUCUCCCCAUUUCCAGCACGUCAGUGGCCUGCCGCGCUCCCAGUGGCGAGAGUCUAGCCUUCUCCCCAUUUCCAGCACGUCAGUGGCCCGCCGCGCUCCCAGUGGCGAGAGUAGCCUUCUCCCCAUUUCCAGCAUGUCAGUGGCCCGCCACGCUUCCAGUGGCGAGAGUCUAGGGCAGGUUUGCUUAGUGUCUUCCUCUGGCUUGAAUUUGACAGGUGGCAGUGCUUUCCUGUCACCAGUUCUUGAGGGCUGUGUGUCCCGGGGAGGAGUGAGCAUGCCCACGCCUCACAGGCCCCAUGCACGCCUGGGCGCAGGAGAGCAUCUGUGGUUUCAUAGGGAGUUCCUGAAAAGCCACAUAGUGACUGAGUCUUCAAACCCACCGAUUCUGAAGAAUGACAAGAUUGGGAAGAAACUCUGUGAUAUUGGAUUGUGACAAAGAUUGUUUUUUCCCCUCAAUAAUCUAUUAGAUUGGGCUGACUGUACAAGUGACACCUGGAAAAACAAAUUCACCAGUUUUAGAAUAGCAAAGGGAAAGAGUAACUGCUUAUCUUGACCGUGACCCUGCUCGACUGCGCCCAUGCCUGCGCCUGCCCUGGAGGCCUGGGUCCCGGGCGGGCAGCAGGCUGCAGUGUCCCGAGUAUUCGAUUUCAUUCUUGUUAUUAAAGCAAGUUGCCAUAUUUCACAGCCUUGAACUAAAGCCUAAUUACCAGCUCUUGGUUUUGUGUCAGUGCCCACAGGGGGUAGGUCGAUGGUGCUUAACAGAGAUUAAGUGCGGUAAAAUAGGAAUAAUAUUUAUCCAAAACAUUUUUAAAAAUAGGGUUGUGUCAAAAAAGAGAAAAGCGGCCGCGGUGCCAGCGAGCUUUGGGAGGCCGUGCUCGUGCGCCAAGGUGUGUCACGCUCACGCAGCCACACGCGUGUCCCACAGUGCACAGCUGUGCUUCUCGUUCCUCCCGGGGAAUUUUGUGUAGACAAUCUUACUGAUGGAGAGGUGAGGGAGGCCGUGGUUGUGCGCUGUGACGUAUUGGGAUUUUCACCUCAGUAUUUAUGAAGUUUUAUCCAGAAUCUUCUAAGAGUGGAUACCUGUCUGCCAUGGGUUUCAGUCUUAGUGAGCCAGACUGUUUGUUGUUCCUUUAGUACUCCAGAAGAGAGAUGCCUAUUUUUUCCACAGCCCUAUGGAAUUUGCAAUCUGUGAUUGCCUUGUAAAAAGAUGAGUGCGUAUGUCACUACACUAAAGAUUUGGUGUUUCUAAAUACUCAAAGAUAGUGGUGAGCACAAUGUAGUCAUUUAACGGCACAGACCGUACCAGACCCAAUUUGCAAGUAUUGGGUCUUAAACUUCAAGUGCAAUGUAUAUGAAAACCAAUCUGAGCCUUGUAUUCUCUUAAAUAUUUAUUUUUUUUUAACGUAUGAGAUGUUAAAAGAGGGUUACCAUUCAUUUCAGUGCUGCAUGGAGGAGGCAGAAGUCAGCAAUAAUUUCCUUCCGUUGUGAAGUUGCUUUGUCGGUAUGUGUCCACUGAGCCCUGGUCCUUUGAAAUACUCCAGUUUUGUGGGUUUAGUAAACUUGUAAUUUUUACUUACAAAUUUACCUUUUUGUAUUUUGCAAUUUAAAUAUUUUGGGUUUGUUUUAAAUUCCGUGAAAGAGGCUUGAUGAAAAGACUCCGUUGACUCUCAGUCGGCCGUCGGCAGGACGGGGCCUGGGACCGAGUGGCGUGUGGCUGUGGACGUGUGCUCAGCUGCGUCCAUGUGACGAUCCUCGUUGCGGUGGUUUUGUUUUGUUUUGAGGAAAAUAUCUUGGAGUAAAUUUUAAGUUACUGUAGCUAAUUUGUUUUAGAGGAGUUUUGUUCAAAAGAAAGUGGGAUCAUUCUGAAUUUUGCAAUGACCCCUUAUACAUUUUCUGAAAAUGAAAACAAAUGACUAGCUUUGUGAAAAGACUUUUCAAUGAAGAUGUCAACAUUUUAUGAAAAACCACAAGUCAUUAGAUGAAAGCAGUAAUUGAAUCUUUAAAAUAUACUUGAUCAUGCACAAACAAUAAGUAUUUUCUCUCUUAAACUGGAAGUAAAUCUGUAUCUGUUAGAAAUAAUGUAGCCAAAAAAUGUGAAUCUGAAGAAUUUUUUUGCCAAUACUUUAUAGCAAGUACAUGAACCAAAGUGAUUCGAGUUUGUAAAAAUGUAAAAUAGUAUGAACAAAUUUGCACUACCCCAG